This 198-nucleotide unclassified non-coding RNA is filed under the name uncultured Basidiomycota. Its description in RNAcentral is "sequence contains ITS2". Lineage: Eukaryota; Fungi; Basidiomycota. The record is from RNAcentral.
AUGUAUCUCAACCCUCUCUCUUGAAAUAAAGGGGGUGAGGCUUGGACGAUGGAGGAUUGUGCAGGCAUUUUCUGUCUGCUCCUCUGGAAAGCAUUAGCUGGAGAAAAUUCCGUGGGCUUUGCGGUGUUGAUAGCACAAUGUCUACACCAGUCCCCCAAGGGAAAUGGUCUCUGCUGUACUUGCAUGAUUUCAUUCAAC